UGAGGGUCGGCAAUCGGGCGG
Molecule: non-coding RNA, 21 nt
Filed under: Arabidopsis thaliana (thale cress)
Lineage: Eukaryota; Viridiplantae; Streptophyta; Magnoliopsida; Brassicales; Brassicaceae
Source: RNAcentral